RNAcentral lists this ribosomal RNA (463 nucleotides) under uncultured bacterium. RNAcentral's name for it is "partial 16S ribosomal RNA". It matches the Rfam family "Bacterial small subunit ribosomal RNA", at positions 28 to 507 of the family's 1533-position model. The record is from RNAcentral.
GAUGAACGCUGACAGAAUGCUUAACACAUGCAAGUCUUUGGCGAAGCUGUGCUUGCACAGCCUAGCCAAGGCGGACGGGUGAGUAACGCGUAAGGAACUUGCCCUGCAGUCAGGGAUAACAGACGGAAACGACUGAUUAGACCUGGUAAAGUCAGGCGGACACAUGUCCAGCCUGAUGAAAAGAGAUGCUGCAGGAGAGCCUUGCGUCCUAUUAGCUUGUUGGUGGGGUAACGGCCCACCAAGGCGAUGAUAGGUAGCCGGCCUGAGAGGGUGGACGGCCACAAGGGGACUGAGAUACGGCCCUUACUCCUACGGGAGGCAGCAGUGGGGAAUAUUGGACAAUGGGGGCAACCCUGAUCCAGCAAUUCUGUGUGCACGAUGAAGGUUUUCGGAUUGUAAAGGGCUUUCAGCAGGGAAGAAAAAAAUGACGGUACCUGCAGAAGAAGCGACGGCUAAAUACGUG